UCUUUAUACAUAAGGCACCUCGUUAAUUUUGUUUAUUGGUAUUUAUUAAAUUAUACGAAAGACCUUAUUUUUUUAAGUAUUUCAUUGUGAAAUUACAUAUAAACACAAAGUAUUUUGGCGAGACUCUUGAGGGAGCAGGACAAGCUGAAGCUGUCCCCUAAGAAAGCGAGCCAACAAUACGAAGUAUUGUAAAUAAACAGCCAGUAA
Molecule: non-coding RNA, 207 nt
Filed under: Staphylococcus epidermidis RP62A
Lineage: Bacteria; Bacillati; Bacillota; Bacilli; Caryophanales; Staphylococcaceae
Description: S. aureus tsr24 small RNA
Rfam family: S. aureus tsr24 small RNA
Source: Rfam by way of RNAcentral